CGUAGCGUAGCCACUGGCGUAAGCCUCAACGAGCAGCAAUCGACCGCUUAUCAGCCCUUGCCAAAGAGUAAUUUGUGAUACCUGUCCGCCUUGUGUAUUGGCUUGUUUAGAGCGCAACGCGCUUAAGUGGUGUUAAUUUUUCAGUAAUUAUUAUCGUAUUUAUUGCCGAACGAAAGUGAAGUGCGAUCGAACCCUCCGCUUCCUCCGCCCCCACCGCUCCGUCCAGUGCCGUGUGUCCGUCCGUGCGAAUGGCAAUAAAUGAAUUACAGAGCCAUAAAGUUGUCUGAUCAGCGUGGUCGGGUUGCGGUCGUCUCGGCCAACUGCAGCUGAUAAUGGACAUGGGAAGUCUACGUGUGUGUGCAUGCGUGUGUGUGUAUGUGUGCCUGCGAGUGUGAUUUACAAAUCAUUAGCACACAAUCAACAACACAUUAGACAAAUUGCUAAAUUAGCUGCUGUUUUUGCAGCAGACAAAAAAAAGGCAACAAAACUUUGUUUUAUUCGGGAGGGAGACCCAAAUCCCGUGGUGAGACUCAGAUAGGGGGAAAGAGAGCAAGAGCAACAGCAACAGCAAGCGAGCGAGAGAGGUGGUACGGUACGGUACUCGUAAUUUUAGCUACUCUACUCUCUCACCCGCAGACCCCAGAUAAGUCGUCCCCAGCCAUUGAGUGAUUCAAUUGUUAUUGGGGCGGCUUUGUUGUUAUUGCUUUUCUGUACCUCUGGCGGAUGGUUUUCAGUGGUUUGACCUGAUAAUACCCAUAGAUCCGACUGGAAUCUGAUUAAGGAUUGUGGAUUGUGGAUAGCUGCCGGGGAUAGACGAAAAUGCUCAGCCCCUCACGACUACGAAUGCAAUCAUGAAUUCCUACUUUGAUUCGGCCAUCGAAUACAAUCGAACGAACACCAUUAACCUGGCGCACUCCAACGAUCAAUCGCAGAGCUUCUCCAAUGAAAAGAACUGGGAAUGGUCGUAUCUGGUGCGCAAAUGCCGCAACCUGGAGCUGGAGGAGUCGUACGACCUGUACAUGCGUCGCCUGCGGGUGGGCUACCUCUCGCUGUUCAUCUUCAUCCAGCUGCAGGUGACCAUCACGCACACCCUGCUGCUGCUGACGACGCCGGACAUAACCUUCGUGUACGUGGACAUGGCCGCCUACAUAGCUUCCGGCGUGGUCAUCUGGCUAAUCCUCUCGGUUAACUUCCGCAGCGAGCUGGUCAGCAAGCACGGCUGGGUGGUGUACGUCUCCUCCUGGCUGGCCGUUUGCGUGAUGGUGCUGAUGGACAUCGGCCUGAAUGUGUACCAUGCUACCAGCCACAACUUCAUCCUGAAUCCCAUCUACGACGCCUACACCCUGUACGCCAUCUACAUGUUCAUGCCGGUGCCGUAUCUGCUGCAGCCGUUCGUGCUCGGAUCCGCCGUCACCCUGUGCUACAUCAUCAACUACAUAUUCGUGAUCACCUCCAAGGAGGACAACCAGAUGCAUAGCAUUCUGAACGAAGCCAUUUACCUGAGUUGCGUCAACCUGCUGGGCAUCUUCUUCCGCCUCAUGCGGGACAUCGCGUUGCGCACCACCUUCCUCGAUCGGCGGCAGUACGUGGAGGAGAAUCUCCUCUUGCGCUACGCUCGCGACCAAGAACGGAGCCUACUGCUCAGCAUCCUGCCUAACCAGAUCGCCGAUCGUCUGCAGGAGGAUGUCAAGAACCGCAUCGAACGCUCCAAGCAGCAGCACCAGCAGCGAUCUCACGUAGAUACGCAGCGGACUACUGACAGUCAGAACCUCAAGCGAUGGCGACAGCCGGAUCACGGAACCCUCUUCAUUGAGCCCCAUGAAGACGUCACUGUUCUGUAUGCGGAUGUGGUCAACUACACCCACCUGACCACCACUCUGGAUGUGAAGAAGCUGGUAGAGGCGCUGCACGACCUCUUCGUGCGCUUCGACAUUGCCAGCGAGGAGUACAAUGUGCUGAGGAUCAAGUUCCUGGGGGACUGCUACUACUGCGUGGCAGGGCUGGUCAGUCCCAAUGCGGAUCAUGCCAAGUGCUGUGUGGACCUGGGCCUGCGCAUGAUCAAGGAUAUACGCGACGUCAGAGAAAAGCGGCACCUCAACAUCGACAUGCGCAUCGGCGUGCACUCUGGCGACGUGCUGUCGGGGGUGAUUGGAGCCGCAAAAUGGCAGUUCGACAUUUGGUCCAAGGACGUGGACAUUGCCAACAGAUUGGAGGCUACUGGGGCCACGGGUCGCGUGCAUGUCAGUCAGAAGACGCUGUCUCUGCUGGACGGCGAGUAUUUCUUCGAGGACGGAACGGAGAAGGCUCGCGAGGAUCCCGUGCUGCAGAAGCAUGGCAUUCGCUCCUUCCUGAUCAAGUCACUGCGCGCCCCCAUGCACGAUCCGAGACGCGUGCAGCGCGAGCGCCAGGCCAAGAAGCUGAGCGAGGCCAACAAGUCGAACUUCAUGCACAACUCCACCCUGCACCAGUACAACCAGGUGCGCAACCAGGCCAAGCUGGAGAUGUGUCGCGAGCUGGACAAGAUGCCAAUCGGUCGGAUAAAGCUCACCAAAGUGUUUCGGCGCAGCACUCGUCUCACCCAGGACGAGAUUGAGGAGGAGACCUUCCGCCGCAACAUCAGCUCGUUCUGUCUGUUCUUUCGCACCCGCAAUUGGGAGAUGCAGUACAUGCGGGAGCCGGAUGUGAUGCUCAAGUACAGCAUUGCUCUCGCCUGGGUGAUUUACAUGGGACUCCUGACCAUCCAACUGUUGAGCAAGGAUGCGAGAUACCAUUACUGGUACAUCGAUGGCACUACCAUUAUCCUGCUCACCAUGCUGCUGAUCGUCUCCUGGUACAAGAAGCUCUGGAUAAUGUACAUGUCCGACGCGGAGGUGUCCGUCCCCACGAGUCGCCUCAGUGGCUGCCUCUUCAACAUGUCGGAUGUGAUGCAGCGCAACUUAUUCCUCCGCAUCCUUAUCUACUUCCUCAUCAUUUUAUCCUACUGCGCUGUGGCCACCAUGCAAGUGCUGGGCUGCAGCAAAGACGAGGACUACGAGGAUAGCGAUCCCACCGUAGAAGAUCGGCUUUUCUGCUUUCAUCCCUGGAUCCUCACCAACUGCAUGACACUGGUUAUUGGCAUGUCCUUUCUGUUCACACGGAUUCCAUUCAUCAUCAAGGUCUGCCUCUCCACCAUCAUCACGAUAGUUUAUGCAGCGCUGGUGAUAUUUGAGUUCAACCACAUCUACGCGAACAGCCCGUCCACCAAUGUCAACUUCAACGCCAAGUACUCGCACAUUCUGCUAAUGAUCAUCACGCUGGGCAUCUUCCACUUGAUGGAGCGACAAACGGAGUUCAUAGCGAAGGUGGACUACAACUGGAAGCGACAGCUGAUGAAGAAGCAGGAGGAUGCCCUGAUCACCAACGACACUAUCAAAGUGCUGCUAACCAACAUAUUGCCGUCGCACGUGGGGCUUCCAUUCCAGCUGACUUCUAUCUGUCGACGCAGCUGCAGAACCAGCUCUACUACGAGGAGUACGAUAACGUGGCCGUGAUGUUUGCCUCCAUCAAGAACUUUGACACGGACAAGAUAGGACUACGGGUACUGAACGAGAUCAUCUGCGACUUUGAUGAUGUGCUAAACAAAUAUGCGCAGUGCCUGCGCGUGGAGAAGAUCAAGGUGGCCAACUGGACAUACAUGGCUGCCUGUGGCUUGGACGUGUCCCGCUCCGAACAGGUUAACGCCCCCCAGAUGAAGUUCCGCAACGCCUCGUUGAUGCCCAAUGGUCGUCGCAGUCGCUACGACGGGGGGCGCACCUCCGACUCCGACGGAAUCCACCGCGUCCCCUACGGCAAUGGCAGUAAUAUUGCCCUGGACCUGGACCUGGAACGGGGGCAGUACGAGGGCAAUGUGAUAACUAGUGCCCCGCGCACUAGCAACGUUGGACAGCAAGCCGGCAACAGUAGCAAUGAGGUGGUCCUGGUAAUGGCACGGUUUGCCCUGGAUCUGAUGCGGGCCAUGCGCCGCUUCAAUGCCGAAAACAUGCAGACAGAGUACGAGGGCAGCACCGACUACGGCAUGCUGAGGAUCGGCAUCUCACACGGCCGGGCUAUGGCCGGGGUGGUGGGAAUAUCGAAACCACACUACGACAUAUGGGGCGACCCGGUCAACAUGGCCUCGCGCAUGGACUCCACGGGGGUGCCUGGCCAGAUCCAGGUGACCGAGAACACGGCCAUCAAGCUGCGGGGGUUCAACAUACAGUGCAACUAUCGGGGCAUGACUUUCGUCAAGGGGCGUGGCAACAUUCCUACCUACAUAAUAGGCACCGACAGCGAAUACGAGUUCCUGCCCCAUCGUCCAUCGAGCCCCAACACAAAGAAGACUAGCUGAAUUUAAUAGAUAUUCGAUUUUAAGCUUCCAUGUAUAUAAAUACUUACAUUAUAAUACCCAAAAUAAACUAAAUAAAUUUGACAAGGACUCCAUUAAAA
RNAcentral lists this unclassified non-coding RNA (4464 nucleotides) under Drosophila pseudoobscura pseudoobscura. RNAcentral describes it as "GA19077". Lineage: Eukaryota; Metazoa; Arthropoda; Insecta; Diptera; Drosophilidae. The record is from RNAcentral.